Molecule: ribosomal RNA, 472 nt
Filed under: uncultured bacterium
Lineage: Bacteria
Description: partial 16S ribosomal RNA
Rfam family: Bacterial small subunit ribosomal RNA
Source: RNAcentral
GACGAACGCUGGCGGCGUGCUUAACACAUGCAAGUCGAACGCUGAAGCUUGGUGCUUGCACUGUGUGGGUGAGUGGCGCACGGGUGAGUAAUACGUGAGUAGCCUGCCCUUGACUCUGGGAUAAGCCUGGGAAACUGGGUCUAAUACUGGAUACGACAUUUCACCGCAUGGUGGUGUGUGGAAUGGGGUUUACUGGGUUUGGAUGGGCUCACGGCCUAUCAGCUUGUUGGUGGGGUAAUGGCUCACCAAGGCGACGACGGGUAGCCGGCCUGAGAGGGUGACCGGCCACACUGGGACUGAGACACGGCCCAGACUCCUACGGGAGGCAGCAGUGGGGAAUAUUGCACAAUGGGCGGAAGCCUGAUGCAGCGACGCCGCGUGAGGGAUGACGGCCUUCGGGUUGUAAACCUCUUUCAGCAGGGACGAAGCGAAAGUGACGGUAAGUGCAGAAGAAGCGCCGGCUAACUACGUG